RNAcentral lists this ribosomal RNA (393 nucleotides) under uncultured bacterium. RNAcentral's name for it is "partial 16S ribosomal RNA". It matches the Rfam family "Bacterial small subunit ribosomal RNA", at positions 523 to 918 of the family's 1533-position model. The record is from RNAcentral.
AUACGGAGGAUCCGAGCGUUAUCCGGAUUUAUUGGGUUUAAAGGGAGCGUAGGUGGACAUGUAAGUCAGUUGUGAAAGUUUGCGGCUCAACCGUAAAAUUGCAGUUGAUACUGUGUGUCUUGAGUACAGUAGAGGUGGGCGGAAUUCGUGGUGUAGCGGUGGAAUGCUUAGAUAUAACGAAGAACUCCGAUUGCGAAGGCAGCUCACUGGACUGUUACUGACACUGAGGCUCGAAAGUGUGGGUAUCAAACAGGAUUAGAUACCCUGGUAGUCCACACAGUAAACGAUGAAUACUCGCUGUUUGCGAUAUACAGCAAGCGGCCAAGCGAAAGCAUUAAGUAUUCCACCUGGGGAGUACGCCGGCAACGGUGAAACUCAAAUGAAUUGACGGGG